GUAAAUCAGAUUUGAGUGAUCCUA
This 24-nucleotide non-coding RNA is filed under the name Arabidopsis thaliana (thale cress). Lineage: Eukaryota; Viridiplantae; Streptophyta; Magnoliopsida; Brassicales; Brassicaceae. The record is from RNAcentral.